This is a long non-coding RNA of Capsicum annuum, 714 nucleotides long. RefSeq lists it as uncharacterized. NCBI's taxonomy places the organism in Eukaryota, Viridiplantae, Streptophyta, Magnoliopsida, Solanales, Solanaceae. The transcript is spliced from 3 exons. The record is from RefSeq and is a predicted model, not a curated record.
AUCAAAGACACCAUCGAAGUUUCUUUCCUCAACUGCCUAUGAUUUUAUUUUCCCAAAAAAUAAAAUAUAUAAACAGUAUAGUACAAUUAAGCAACAAAUUAAUUAAUCAAAAGAAGAAAAUUGACCUAACCCCCCGCCCCGUCCUAUUUGCUCCAAUUUCUUGCCUGCUGAAUUUUUAGAAGUGUUACUGCUCCCACUAAUUUUAUUUAGACGUUACAUAAUACAAUUUCAGGUCAUCGAGGAUAUGUAGGAAGGACGCAGAUUAGAAUAGAAUGAUAAUUGGGUAGAGUGUUGUGUGUUGCUUUUUCAGGUUUUAACCUUAUUGGUGUUUGUUGUGCACUAGCCAUAGCAUGAUAGUUUAGGGUUUAGCCAUAAAUAUGGAGAUGAUACAUUAGAGAUAUCAAGCCGAGGGUCUGUAGAAACAGCCUCUCUACCCUACAAAUGUAGGAGUAAGAAUUUGACUUUCCAUAAGCAAUAAGUCUCCGAGAGCUUCUUCCUCUAACAUGAGAAAUUUCAUUUCCGUUGUUCUCUAGUGUUUUGGCGGGCCUGAAUUUUAGUCUCCUUGGACUGAGUUUCUCAGACUGAAAAUCAAUUAUUUUUCCUCUCCUGAACUUGAGAUUUUUAGGACUGCCAUUGCAGCCCUUCCAGCUUUUAUAUAUUAGUUUGGAGUUGCUGUUCCACUUUUCUUGGAACUGCUGACUAUUGCAUCACCAU